AGAAAGAUGCCUGAAAAAGGAUUAUUUUGAUGUAAUAAAUUAUGUUUAGUAAAACUCUUUCUA
Molecule: transfer RNA, 63 nt
Filed under: Pachypsylla venusta (hackberry petiole gall psyllid)
Lineage: Eukaryota; Metazoa; Arthropoda; Insecta; Hemiptera; Aphalaridae
Description: tRNA-Ile
Source: RNAcentral